RNAcentral lists this long non-coding RNA (931 nucleotides) under Nicotiana benthamiana. RNAcentral's name for it is "long non-coding RNA (NBEN_LNC013407)". The record is from RNAcentral. Lineage: Eukaryota; Viridiplantae; Streptophyta; Magnoliopsida; Solanales; Solanaceae.
AACGUGCUGAAGUUUGGUGAUUGAUCACCUGCAGAAACCCUAGCUAAAGGGAGAAGAAGGAACAUCUGUAAGAGAGAAAUGAAUGUAACAUUAUAAAAAAAUCUAUUCCACUCACUGUAUAUCUUUUACAUUUAUACAUAUAUGUACACGUGUAGCGUUACUAACUAUCUCAUUAACUCCCUAAAUAAACUAAACCACUUCUCAUAAUGAGGUUACUCCUUUCUCCUCAACAGAAAGUAAACCGUAGCUAAUUAUUUAGUACCUUGAGGAAGAACUAAUAGUGAUAACGUCGCAUUAAUAACCUGGAGAGUGGAGAAGCUAUUACACAAUUUACACUUUGAUUCCCUAGAAACUAAUCGAAUCAACUGAAGCACUACUAUAGAUGCAUGCAAUAUAUCAAAAUGACAAAAGAAAAGAGCAUUAAAAACAGAAAAUUGUCAUCAGAAAACUUGCUAGUACAUUGGCUUAAAUGAAUACUCUAUUGGCCUUGCAAUCUUCCGAGCUGGUUGACAACAGUCUAGUCAGUCCUUCUCGCUCUUCUGUACAUCUUUCAGUUCUUGGUCUCAUCCGAUGAACAACUUUGUCAAUCAUGUUUAGAGUGACCCAUGCCUGGACUAUGACCUGGGUUAACAGGAUGAAAAGAAUCUACACUUCCAUAAAUCUUAAUCUAUGUUUCAAUAUAGAUAGCUUCUUUUCAAUCUGUGCACCAAGUGUUAUUUUUGCAAACGACACGAUUUACAUUCUCUUUUGUCCCAAGAAUUCUGCCUUGGCUGAAAAUAACUAGGUUUGAAAAGAUGAAUAACAUGAAGAAUGAACUAGUGAUAUAAAAGUUGGCCAUUUUAGGGAAAAGCUUGGGAGUUGGGGUGGUGGGGGUUUGUGAAUAGUCAAGAGGACUCGAGAAGCUUAGUAUAGUGACUGUGGCGAGAGUUUU